Molecule: ribosomal RNA, 272 nt
Filed under: uncultured bacterium
Lineage: Bacteria
Description: partial 16S ribosomal RNA
Rfam family: Bacterial small subunit ribosomal RNA
Source: RNAcentral
UACGGAGGCCCCCAAGCGUUGUUCGGAUUUAUUGGGCGUAAAGGGUGCGUAGGCGGCGCAUUAAGUCUGGUGUGAAAGGCGUGGGCUCAACCCGCGGACUGCAUUGGAUACUGGUGUGCUAGAGGACUGGAGAGGAGAAUGGAAUUCACGGUGGAGCAGUGAAAUGCGUAGAUAUCGUGAGGAAGGCCGGUGGCGAAGGCGAUUCUCUGGACAGUACCUGACGCUGAGGCACGAAGGCUGGGGGAGCGAACAGGAUUAGAUACCCGUGUAGU